GUCCCUGACAUCUUUGGCGACUCCGCCGGGACCCGUCUGACUCUCCAGUGGGGGAUCGGACCCUGAGGCAACGCAGCGCGCAUCCUCCAGUUUAGAGGAGCCUUGCCUGGUGAUCUGAUCUCUGCGUUGGCAAUAAGGCGUGUUCUGUGAACCAGCUGAAACUCGUAGAAAUCCAGCAACGUCCACCUACCCGUUGAGUAGGGUCCAGGUUGUCGGGGUUAGAGUCCCUGACUACUUAGGUCUGGGUUAAAGUCCCAGUCCAGGUUUGCGCAGGAUCCAAGUUGUCUGGGUUAGAGUCCCAGCCUGGGUUUGAGUCCCAGUCCAGGUGUUCAAGUCCCUGGAGAGGUAAGGAAGCGCUACCCAAAGACCCUAGCAGCCCUGCCACUCCUUGAAACCAGGAGACGGGAUUGAUGUAAAGGUCCACCAACAAAAAACUGCCUUGGCUCCAUGCUGGAAAGGCCCUUAAGUCCUGAUGACUACCAACACCGUUGUGAAGUGCCAAAGACUGACUGCUUGGACCCAAGAUUCUCACUGCAAAAAGACCCCUCCACAUUGGGAGAAUUCUCCUACUGAUGAUUAGCCUAUUUCACCUUCUAGCUCCACUGUGCCUUCUGGACAGUAGGGAAAAAGUACAAGGUGAAAUGCUAGUAACCUCUCCCUUAUCCACUGACAGAUCUACUGUGCCUUUGAAUUUUUCUAGAAAAAGCAAAACCAUUACAGGGUGAUAUGCUAGUAACCUCUCCCCUAUAUGAUGCGGCACCACGACUGUUUUGGGAAAGAAGAAGAAACACUCACUCCACUGAAAUUGCUAAAGUCCAGGAAUUCCUGACUAAAAAGAACAUUAAAAACUGACCCUGGUGAAGAAACAAAGAAUUGUACACUGGCAGAAAAAAUUUGUGGAACCCAUGCUUGGGAAUGUGGUAUUAAUUGGAUUUUGGGGUUUAUUCUACAGGCUGUGCCCUGUGUUCUGGAUAAAUUCUUCAGCAUGUAUUGCUCUCUCUAAUUGGAUUUUAAAUAACAAGUACCCGAAGAGUUUGUUCUGCCACUGGAAAUUUUACCUGUAUUGAAACCAUUCCAGUGACUAAUAAUGUAACCCCCUCCUAUGCUAUUAAUGUCAAUGCCUUUUAAAAGUACCUGAAAAUAGUUAAAUAACAAAUGUAAUAUAGUACUACACCAAGUAAAGAUGGUAUUAAAUAUCACUGAGGCUGGGAAGGCAUUGCAGUGGGAUCUAGUAUGUUUGGAGAUUCAGAAUUUCCUGAAUGACCAGCUGAUGGCCAUUUGGAGUGAUCUUGAGUACCAGACUUGGCCCACUGCCCUUACAGACACAUCAGGAGUACCAUCUAAUCUGUGGUCAUGGAGAUAUACUAAAGACUUUCUGGGUGAAAGUGUAAACAUUUACAGUGCUCCUUCCAAGCAUUUGAACUGGGGGGUGUGGGCUUCCACAUACCGAAUCCUGACGGGUCCAUGGGGAGGAUGCACAUGGGACUGAAUUAUUCACCGAAACAUCUGGGAAAUUAAACCACUUGGUAUACCUAACUGAUUUAUAGUCAGUGCCCCAAUCCCUUAGUUGUCAGACAAACAGGAUUCCACUCUUUUGUCCGUGCACUCAUUCCUGGAUUGUGGGUGGCUAAGCUCAAGAGAGCAGUUGUAAAUAUUUCUGCAGAGCUUGAAAAAAAAACAGCUAAUGCAUUAAUAAACGCUUUCCAAAAGUUGCAUCGAAAGACUGAUGAAGUAGCAGAAGUAACUUUGCAAAAUAGACGUGUGCUAAAUGCCAUGAAUGCUGAAUUAAGGAGGGGCUUGUGCUCGCAUUGGGGAAAAAUGUUGCUUUGCUGUUAAUCACUCUGGCUUAAUUGACAAAGAUUUACAAGCUAUUAAAAAUGUUGCUGUUGUUUUCCAUGCUAUAUCUCUUGAUCACACUUUUAGUUUUAAGAACCUCUACUCAGACCUUGGGUCAUGGUUUACUAGCCUCCCCCGUACAAUUGUUAAAUGGAUAUGUGUCCCAAGAGUCCCAUUAUGGUCCUCUAGGGACAAAGGGGGGAUUGUUAGGCCUGAAUAAAGAUAUAGCAGACAAAACCAGGUAUGCCAACCUGACCAAAGUCAGGCUAACAGAGGUUUGUGGGUAAUCCCUGAGUGGAAAACACUGAGAAGCAGCAGCAUGUCUCACAAGCGCUGGGAAAAAGUGAGAUAAGAGAGAAGCUGCAUUCCUGGCAUAGUACCAGAUGUGCUGUGUUCGGGCAGCUCCUUCGAAGAACUGAUAAGAGUCCUAGUUUCCCAGCCUCCUUGUUUUCGCUCCCUGGUUUUGUUCUUUGUUUGUUUUUAACUCCCCUACAUUUCUAACUUUAGGCAUGCAUGUAUACUAAAGGUGUCUAGUUUCUAGUUGUUAGAAGAAGGGGGUGGGUUGCUCCAGUGAAUAAUUUAUGACGCGACGGAACUGUCUAUAUAGGCUUAUACUAAAAUGUAAAGAGCAGGCUGGUUCUCUCUGGAGACGAGCUGCUCUCUAUUGAUGCGUGCACUUGUCAAUAAAGAGCUUUUGAUUGGA
Long non-coding RNA from Gopherus flavomarginatus (Mexican gopher tortoise), 2539 nucleotides. RefSeq lists it as uncharacterized. Lineage: Eukaryota; Metazoa; Chordata; Testudines; Testudinidae. The record is from RefSeq and is a predicted model, not a curated record. The transcript has 2 exons.